This 494-nucleotide ribosomal RNA is filed under the name uncultured bacterium. RNAcentral's name for it is "partial 16S ribosomal RNA". It matches the Rfam family "Bacterial small subunit ribosomal RNA", at positions 34 to 507 of the family's 1533-position model. The record is from RNAcentral.
UCCUCCCUCUGGCGGCGUGCUUAACACAUGCAAGUCGAACGGAAAGGCCUGCUUUCCCUUGUGGAUUGCGGGUACUCGAGUGGCGAACGGGUGAGUAACACGUGAGUGAUCUGCCCCCAACUUGGGUAUAAGCCUGGGAAACUGGGUCUAAUUCCCGAUAGGACUGCAGGGUGGUGCCUGUGGUGGAAAACGAUUUUCUAGUGGUUGGGGAUGAGCUCGCGGCCUAUCAGCUUGUUGGUGGGGUAAUGGCCUACCAAGGCGGCGACGGGUAGCCGGCCUGAGAGGGUGGACGGCCACAUUGGGACUGAGAUACGGCCCAGACUCCUACGGGAGGCAGCAGUGGGGAAUAUUGCACAAUGGGCGGAAGCCUGAUGCAGCGACGCCGCGGGGGGGAUGACGGCCUUCGGGUUGUAAACUCCUUUCGACCGCGAGGAAGCCACCUGGUUGGAAGGGUGGUGACGGUAGUGGUAGAAGAAGCACCGGCUAACUACGUG